This is a long non-coding RNA of Populus trichocarpa (black cottonwood), 1309 nucleotides long. RefSeq lists it as uncharacterized. The record is from RefSeq and is a predicted model, not a curated record. NCBI's taxonomy places the organism in Eukaryota, Viridiplantae, Streptophyta, Magnoliopsida, Malpighiales, Salicaceae. The transcript is spliced from 2 exons.
AGUUUUAUUAGUAAGUAAUUCUUUUCUAAUAGUUUGCUCUCAGAAUAGAGAUUGUAACUUUUUAAAUAACUAUUAAAUCGAAUUUUACAGGAUAAUAAUAAUCAAAAUCCUAAUUCGAAUAGAAAAAUAACAUAAAACCUGAGAGUACACAAGAUAGGUUCUCAGGGUCUCCUCCGGGAACCCGCAGAAACAAACCCAGUCCUGAUGAACAGGAACAAAGGCCAGCUUUGAAGUCCUGUUUUACCCCCUCAAUUCAUACAAAAGUUGGAUCACAUGCAAGAAGCACACACAUCAUCCAAAAUGUCCCAUCUCUUAGAAUUUUAGUUACUUCACAGCAAAAAAAGAAGAAGAAGCUUAUAGACACAGAUGGGAAAACGCAGCAAGCCAGCAACUGGCAAAAACACAGAAGAAUGUUCUGGUGAAGGAGCUAGUACCUACAAAAUAGCACUAGCAAGGUUUUCAAUAGAUGAUUCAAAGCCUGUCAAGGCAGGAUUUUCAGCCUUUUCAGGAUCUUUUUGUUAAGCUAAACGUUGCAAACACAAACAACUACGACAAUAGAAGGGGGGUGACAACAGGUUAGGAAGUACAAAUCACUACAAACUAAAUAUUAAUCAAGGUCCCUUGCCUAUAAAUACCAAGCUUUGAUCUAUGGUCAUGGAGUCUUUUCUUGAUCCUUUGUUGGAACCCGGAAAAGACUGUCAGUAACCACGAAAAUGUCAAACACCCGGUCCUGGAUUAGUUUAGAGAACUUCAAACGCCAGAUGCUCUGGAAUCCAAGCUGAUGAUUUGAGGGGAAACUGUUGCAGCUUUCACUUUUGCGACAUCAGCACCCAUGCUAGUGGGGACGUCAUGGAUCUUUUUGUUUCGAGUAAAUGGCAUUAGUGCACUGCGUAUGGUCGAUAGCACCCGAUCAUUAUGGCCAAGACUUUCAACACUAAAUCAAUCAAUGACUCAAGAGAUUUUGCACAAUAUUUGUCUUCUCAUUCCAUGUUCGGCUCCUCCUAUUUCAUCUCUGAUAACCUGAGCUUCUUUUGAGGUGACUUCUAGUGGAACUACUUCAAAAUCUCUGGUAUUUUUGUCACUCGAAAAUGGUAUGGACUCUGCGACUUGACGAGGCAGGAAACUAACUUUGGUUCCACUAUUAGUAAAAAGAAAUGUCAUCUUUUUGCCAGGGUGGAGGUCGUUGUACUGGUAGAAUAUCGUUGAGGCUGGGUUUUUUUUAAUGGUUAUCUUGUAUCAGGAUGAAGUUGAUGGCAGUCCCCUGUGAAACAAUAUAAUCAAAUAUUUUGUGGUUGCCAUGUUUUUUCUA